GAUGAACGCUGGCGGCGUGCCUAAUACAUGCAAGUCGAACGCAUUGUGGUUGAAAUGAUAUGAAGAACUUGUUCAGAUUUGAUUUUCAACAUUGCAAUGAGUGGCGAACGGGUGAGUAACACGUGGGAAACCUACCUCUUAGCAGGGGAUAACAUUUGGAAACAAAUGCUAAUACCGUAUAAUAAUUAAAACCGCAUGGUUUUAGUUUAAAAGAUGGUCUUGCUAUCACUAAGAGAUGGUCCCGCGGUGUAUUAGUUAGUUGGUGAGGUAAUGGCUCACCAAGACAAUGAUACAUAGCCGAGUUGAGAGACUGACCGGCCACAAUGGGACUGAGACACGGCCCAUACUCCUACGGGAGGCAGCAGUAGGGAAUCUUCCACAAUGGACGAAAAGUCUGAUGGAGCAACGCCG
This 411-nucleotide ribosomal RNA is filed under the name uncultured bacterium. Its description in RNAcentral is "bacterial SSU rRNA". It matches the Rfam family "Bacterial small subunit ribosomal RNA", at positions 28 to 399 of the family's 1533-position model. The record is from RNAcentral.